Molecule: non-coding RNA, 27 nt
Filed under: Rattus norvegicus (Norway rat)
Lineage: Eukaryota; Metazoa; Chordata; Mammalia; Rodentia; Muridae
Source: RNAcentral
UGCCUUAGCCACUUGUUGGUUCAUGGU